Molecule: long non-coding RNA, 288 nt
Organism: Mauremys mutica (yellowpond turtle)
Lineage: Eukaryota; Metazoa; Chordata; Testudines; Geoemydidae
Exons: 7
Source: RefSeq, a predicted model, not a curated record
GUAAACACCGGCAAUGUGGGAGACGGCAGCUUUGACGACAACAGCCGAAACAACCAAUUCUGGUCAGUGGACUCCGGUAGCGUACACACUGGCAAUGUGGGCGACGGCAGCUUUGACGACAACAGCCAAAACAACCAAUUCUGGUCAGUGAACUCCGGUAGUGUAAACACCGGCAACGUGGGAGAUGGCAGCUUUGACGACAACAGCCAAAACAACCAAUUCUGGUCAGUGGAAUCCGGUAGCGUAAACACCGGCAACGUGGGAGACGGCAGCUUUGACGACAACAGC